Long non-coding RNA from Chiloscyllium plagiosum (whitespotted bambooshark), 834 nucleotides. RefSeq lists it as uncharacterized. The record is from RefSeq and is a predicted model, not a curated record. Lineage: Eukaryota; Metazoa; Chordata; Chondrichthyes; Orectolobiformes; Hemiscylliidae.
CUUGACUAAUUUGUAUCCAGAGUAAAAAUUGAUGAAGCCAAUAAAACGGGUAAGCUUCAAAAGAUCGGCGUCUCAGGAUCUCCCCGCUGAUUCAAAAGUCAUAAAGGAGCUGGCACAAGAGGUGAGGAAAAUUGGAGACUUCCUGCACAUGAGAUAUAUACUACUCAAGUCUCUCCAAGCUGAACAGAACUCCAGGAAAAAAUUGUCAAGCAAUCAAGAAAAUUGAAACAUUUAACAGAUUAUUUUAUUUCCAAGUUUUUGGAAAGCAGUAACAGAUGGAAGUCAUUCUUGGAGGACGAGAGAAUGACAGGCUCAGAUUCCUGGUACUUUCAACCAUGUGACUGAAAGGAGCAGGGGAGAUACAGCUUCAGUGAACUAAUGCUCCCCUGUUAGGCUCCAAGGAAAAAAAAACAAAACAGAGCCACAAAAAUUACUUUGAAUAAAGGCACAAUUUUACAAUUUCUUGAAUAGACUCUAAAGUUGAGUGAACUUCUGCCAUUGUUGGGAGCAGACAAACUAAAUUGUGUGGACGUUAUGUAAAGUACUUUAUUAACUCAAGAAUUUGUAACAACAAAAAGAAAUACUUGGUAAAGUUAAUAAAAUUGAGAGUUGAAAGAAAUGAAUAUUUUUAUGUUGGAAUAUACUUUGAAAUUUUUAAUCCAUAUACUGCAUUGUUUCAUGUUUCAAUUAACGUGACUUUUUUGUAAACUAAUUUAAAUCACUGUUACUAUAAUCUGGUGAUUGUUGUUGUUGGCACAAAGUUGUUUUCAUAACCUUCACACUGUUAAUGUAUUAACUUACCUAACAAAUAAAGUCUACAAUUCCUUCAUGUCA